GAUGAACGCUGGCGGCGUGCCUAAUACAUGCAAGUCGAGCGAACAGACGAGGAGCUUGCUCCUCUGACGUUAGCGGCGGGCGGGGGAGUAACACGUGGAUAACCUACCUAUAAGACUGGGAUAACUUCGGGAAACCGGAGCUAAUACCGGAUAAUAUAUUGAACCGCAUGGUUCAAUAGUGAAAGACGGUUUUGCUGUCACUUAUAGAUGGAUCCGCGCCGCAUUAGCUAGUUGGUAAGGUAACGGCUUACCAAGGCAACGAUGCGUAGCCGACCUGAGAGGGUGAUCGGCCACACUGGAACUGAGACACGGUCCAGACUCCUACGGGAGGCAGCAGUAGGGAAUAUUGCGCAAUGGGCGAAAGCCUGACGGAGCAACGCCGCGUGAGUGAUGAAGGUCUUCGGAUCGUAAAACUCUGUUAUUAGGGAAGAACAAAUGUGUAAGUAACUAUGCACGUAUUGACGGUACCUAAUCAGAAAGCAACGGCUAACUACGUG
Molecule: ribosomal RNA, 497 nt
Filed under: uncultured bacterium
Lineage: Bacteria
Description: partial 16S ribosomal RNA
Rfam family: Bacterial small subunit ribosomal RNA
Source: RNAcentral